This 319-nucleotide ribosomal RNA is filed under the name uncultured Chloroflexota bacterium. RNAcentral's name for it is "bacterial SSU rRNA". It matches the Rfam family "Bacterial small subunit ribosomal RNA", at positions 28 to 351 of the family's 1533-position model. The record is from RNAcentral. Lineage: Bacteria; Bacillati; Chloroflexota.
GAUGAACGCUGGCGGCGUGCUUAAUACAUGUAAGUCGGACGGAGCGUUAGCAAUAGCGCUUAGUGGCGAACGGGUGAGUAACACGUUGGUGACCUGCCCCGAAGCGGGGGAUAACAGUUCGAAAGGAUUGCUAAUACCGCAUGUGGUUAUCAGUUUUAGAAUCUGAUAAUUAAAGCAGUAAUGCGCUUCGGGAGGGACCUGCGUCCCAUCAGCUAGUUGGUGAGGUAAUGGCCCACCAAGGCUACGACGGGUAGGGGACCUGAGAGGGUGGUCCCCCACACUGGCACUGAAACACGGGCCAGACACCUACGGGUGGCAG